UAUGCUUAGGGCUACACACGUGCUACAAUGGGUAGUACAGAGGGUUGCCAAGCCGUAAGGUGGAGCUAAUCCCUUAAAGCUACUCUCAGUUCGGAUUGUAGGCUGAAACUCGCCUACAUGAAGCUGGAGUUACUAGUAAUCGCAGAUCAGAAUGCUGCGGUGAAUGCGUUCCCGGGUCUUGUACACACCGCCCGUCACACCACGGGAGUUGGAGACGCCCGAAGCCGAUUAUCUAACCUUUUGGAAGAAGUCGUC
Molecule: ribosomal RNA, 255 nt
Filed under: Clostridioides difficile
Lineage: Bacteria; Bacillati; Bacillota; Clostridia; Peptostreptococcales; Peptostreptococcaceae
Description: partial 16S ribosomal RNA
Rfam family: Bacterial small subunit ribosomal RNA
Source: RNAcentral